Molecule: ribosomal RNA, 250 nt
Filed under: uncultured bacterium
Lineage: Bacteria
Description: partial 16S ribosomal RNA
Rfam family: Archaeal small subunit ribosomal RNA
Source: RNAcentral
CACCGGCAGCUCGAGUGGUGGCCAUUUUUAUUGGGCCUAAAGCGUUCGUAGCCGGCCUGAUAAGUCUCUGGUGAAAUCCCAUAGCUUAACUGUGGGAAUUGCUGGAGAUACUAUCAGGCUUGAGGCCGGGAGAGGUUAGGGGUACUCCCAGGGUAGGGGUGAAAUCCUAUAAUCCUGGGAGGACCACCUGUGGCGAAGGCGCCUAACUGGAACGGACCUGACGGUGAGUAACGAAAGCCAGGGGCGCGAA